Molecule: non-coding RNA, 161 nt
Organism: Heterocephalus glaber (naked mole-rat)
Lineage: Eukaryota; Metazoa; Chordata; Mammalia; Rodentia; Bathyergidae
Source: Rfam
AUACUUACCUGGCAGGGGAGAUACCAUGACCAGGAAGGUAGUUUUCCCAGGGUGAGGCUCCUCCAUUGCACUCCAGGUGUGCUGACCCCUGCAAUUUUAGUACUUCAUUAUGUAUAAAUACUGUAUUUUCUUUAUCUAUUCAUCUGUUGAUAGACAUAGGC